UAGGGAAUCUUCGGCAAUGGGGGCAACCCUGACCGAGCAACGCCGCGUGAGUGAAGAAGGUUUUCGGAUCGUAAAGCUCUGUUGUAAGAGAAGAACGUGUGUGAGAGUGGAAAGUUCACACAGUGACGGUAACUUACCAGAAAGGGACGGCUAACUACGUGCCAGCAGCCGCGGUAAUACGUAGGUCCCGAGCGUUGCCCGGAUUUAUUGGGCGUAAAGCGAGCGCAGGCGGUUUAAUAAGUCUGAAGUUAAAGGCAGUGGCUUAACCAUUGUUCGCUUUGGAAACUGUUAAACUUGAGUGCAGAAGGGGAGCGUGGAAUUCCAUGUGUAGCGGUGAAAUGCGUAGAUAUAUGGAGGAACACCGGUGGCGAAAGCGGCUCUCUGGUCUGUAACUGACGCUGAGGCUCGAAAGCGUGGGGAGCAAACAGG
This 429-nucleotide ribosomal RNA is filed under the name bacterium. RNAcentral describes it as "partial 16S ribosomal RNA". It matches the Rfam family "Bacterial small subunit ribosomal RNA", at positions 355 to 776 of the family's 1533-position model. The record is from RNAcentral.